RNAcentral lists this transfer RNA (69 nucleotides) under Anomaloglossus surinamensis. RNAcentral's name for it is "tRNA-Pro". It matches the Rfam family "tRNA". Rfam says of the family: Transfer RNA (tRNA) molecules are approximately 80 nucleotides in length. Their secondary structure includes four short double-helical elements and three loops (D, anti-codon, and T loops). Lineage: Eukaryota; Metazoa; Chordata; Amphibia; Anura; Aromobatidae. The record is from RNAcentral.
CAAGAUAUAAUUUAAGUAGAAUAUUAGCUUUGGGGGUUAAUUGUGAGGGUUAAAUUCUCUCUAUCUUGA